RNAcentral lists this ribosomal RNA (491 nucleotides) under uncultured bacterium. RNAcentral describes it as "partial 16S ribosomal RNA". It matches the Rfam family "Bacterial small subunit ribosomal RNA", at positions 28 to 507 of the family's 1533-position model. The record is from RNAcentral.
GAUGAACGCUAGCUACAGGCUUAACACAUGCAAGUCGAGGGGAAACGAUGAGAGAGCUUGCUCUCUUAGUCGUCGACCGGCGCACGGGUGAGUAACGCGUAUCCAACCUGCCUCUGACCAAGGGAUAACCCGUCGAAAGUCGGACUAAUACCUUAUGCAGUCGUCGGAAGUCAUCUGAUGACGACGAAAGAUUUCAUCGGUGAGAGAUGGGGAUGCGUCUGAUUAGCUUGUUGGCGGGGUAACGGCCCACCAAGGCGACGAUCAGUAGGGGUUCUGAGAGGAAGGUCCCCCACAUUGGAACUGAGACACGGUCCAAACUCCUACGGGAGGCAGCAGUGAGGAAGAUUGGUCAAUGGGCGUAAGCCUGAACCAGCCAAGUAGCGUGCAGGAUGACGGCCCUAUGGGUUGUAAACUGCUUUUAUGCGGGGAUAAAGUGAGGGACGUGUCCUUCAUUGCAGGUACCGCAUGAAUAAGAACCGGCUAAUUCCGUG